GGGUAAACAGCUUGUAAAGAUACGAUUGUAAGAAUUAUCACAUGUAAUAAAGUAAAUUGUUACAUUCAUAACCUUUGGGCUCCGAUGGUCAGUAAUGAAAGCACGGAAUGAGUCAAACAAAUAACAACAGUGUAUAAACUGUCUAAUAAACACGUUUAAAUAUAUGCGUCAGUAUGCAAAUCUAUCACACCUUGGGUAAAAUAUUACCAUGCAGUAAAACAAUUAUCAUGCAGUUACACUUAUAUUCAUACUUGCGCUUAAUAUUACCCGUAAAUCAUUGGCCAUGCAUGAGAG
Paramuricea clavata is the source of this 294-nucleotide non-coding RNA. NCBI's taxonomy places the organism in Eukaryota, Metazoa, Cnidaria, Anthozoa, Malacalcyonacea, Plexauridae. The record is from the annotation of a GenBank genome assembly.